CGCUAUCGAAAAUCAUGCAUUGGAUGGAUGCCCGGGCAUUGAGAAGGAAGGACGCUUUCAGAGGCGAAAGGCCAUGGGGAGAGAUUUUUCUGUGAUCCAUGGAUCUCCGAUCGGGAAACCGUAUCCAAGCUCCGUGGCUAGUCUGCGCUCUUUGGACUUUUCAAACUUAGCGAGCUGAAACAUCUGAGUAGCUAAAGGAAGGAAAAUCAACCGAGACCCCGUUAGUAGCGGCGAGUGAGAGCGGAACAAGGGUUUUCAUCAAAAGAAAUCCGAAGCGGUUUCAUUCGAUUUGUUGUGGAUUGGAUGAUGGAAAAACCAGCAAGCAGCAAGCGUAGUUAGAAAAGUUGCCGUAGCACGCCCUACGGAGUUGUACAAAGUCAGCAACCGUUUUGGGGCGCAAGCAUAGGCAACACAGGACUGAUGACGGGGUGGGGCGCGCAGUGAACUGGUUUUCUAAAAAGAUUGGAAGAUCCGGCCAAAGAANGGGGCGCGCAGUGAACUGGUUUUCUAAAAAGAUUGGAAGAUCCGGCCAAAGAAGGUGAUAGCCCUGUUCAUUCGUUCCCAUGGUUCGAUCCUUCCCAGUAAAACGCGGCGUGUUCGAAUGAUGAUCGCUUUUACGCGAGAAAGGGGGACCACCCUCUAAGCCUAAGUAUUCCUCAAUGACCGAUAGCGUACAAGUACCGCGAGGGAAAGGUGAAAAGAACCCCAAUCGGGGAGUGCAAUAGAGAACCUGAGAUCCGAUGCGAGCAAUCAGUCGAAGGAGCGGAGCGCGGGCGCACUCACUCUAACGGCGUAUCUUUCGCAUGAUGGGUCGGCGAGGAAAUGGGAACUGCGGCUUAAGCCAUUAGGUGUAGGCGCUUUCCACAGGUGGAAGAUUUACGUUCUUCCUAUUUGACCCGAAACCGAUCGAUCUAGCCAUGAGCAGGUUGAAGAGAGCUCUAAUAGGCCUUGGAGGACCGAACCCACGUAUGUGGCAAAAUACGGGCAUGACUUGUGGCUAGGGGUGAAAGGCCAACCAAGAUCGGAUAUAGCUGGUUUUCCGCGAAAUCUAUUUCAGUAGAGCGUAUGAUGUCGAUGGCCCGAGGUAGAGCACUCAAUGGGCUAGGGUGGCCCCNGGCCCGAGGUAGAGCACUCAAUGGGCUAGGGUGGCCCCCAUUUCGCUUUACCAACCCCAGGGAAACUCCGAAUACAGGCCGUCAUCCUUAGUACAGACAGACUGAUUGGGUGCUAAGAUCCAAAGUCGAGAGGGAAACAGCCCAGAUCAUACGCUAAGGUCCCUAAGCAAUCACUUAGUGGAAAAGGAAGUGAUCGAGCAAUGACAACCAGGAGGUGGGCUUGGAAGCAGCCAUCCUUUGAAGAAAGCGUAAUAGCUCACUGGUCUAGCUCCAUGGCNNNNNNNNNNNNNNNNNNNNNNNNNNNNNNNNNNNNNNNNNNNNNNNNNNNNNNNNNNNNNNNNNNNNNUGCUUUGACUACUGAACCAUGCCUGGAUCGUCGGAGCGAAUUGGAUGAUCGGGCCGAGGGCUGCCCCCUCUUCCCCUCGCUCUCCUUUCCUUAAUAUUCACCGUCGAGUCAUCAAAGCCGUCAACUAAUUCAGAGGGGCUCGGCUGGCCCGGUCGCCCUACGCUACUGGCGCUUCCAAAGGCGAAGCUCUCGUCUUUGGUGACCAGCAAACGGAGGGCUAAAACCUGUAGUUUUGAAGCAAGGGAUGAGCGCGAAAGCCGUUGCGCUUCCGUACACGCGCAUACGUUUUCUUGCUGGGGCGGACACGUAUUUCUAUCUAAAGGCGAAGAAAAAGAAGUGGGCGAACACUCGGCCCAGCGGGUGAACAUGCCGGCUCCGGCUCCGCGCACCUGCUGACACCUUUCGAAGCACUUUCACGUGUGAACCGAAGUCGUCUUGCCGAACUCCUUCCUUUCUCAUUUCAGUCCUCGCCUUUCUCAUCUUCCGUAGGGGCCUUUAGUCUUUUGAUUAGAGUGGAGGUCGCGAGAGAGCAGAGCGUACCGCCCUGCCAUAGUCGCGACGAUCUUAAUAGUCGGUCGCGACUGUUGUCAUAGUCAACGACGGUUGAAACUUCCAGGAAAAAACUUCGAAUUGGGAGGGCGAUCCUCCCGGUGAACUGACCGUACCCCAAACCAACACAGGUGAACAAGUAGAGUAUACUAGGGCGCGUCGAGAGAACCAUGUCGAAGGAACUCGGCAAAAUGACCCCGUAACUUCGGGAGAAGGGGUGCUCUCCUAUCUUUUGAUUAGGAAAGCGGCACAUACCAGGGGGUAGCGACUGUUUAUUAAAAACACAGGACUCUGCUAAGUAGUAACACGAUGUAUAGAGUCUGACACCUGCCCGGUGCUGGAAGGUCGGAAGGAGAAGUGUGAUAAGCUUUGAAUGGAAGCCCCGGUAAACGGCGGCAGUAACUCUAACUGUCCUAAGGUAGAGAAAUUCCUUGUCGCAUAAGUAGCGACCUGCACGAAUUGUGUAACGACUGCCCCGCUGUCUCCGACAUGGAUUCGGUGAAAUUGAAUUCUCCGUGAAGAUGCGGAGUACCAACGGCUAGACGGUAAGACCCCGUGCACCUUGACUAUAGCUUCGCAGUGACAACCUUGAUCGAAUGUGUAGGAUAGGUGGGAGGUGGUGACACACAACGACCAAUCCUGAAAGACCACUCUUUCAUCUAAGGAUGCCUAACUGCCGCAUCGAUCAUCC
This is a non-coding RNA of Triticum aestivum (bread wheat), 2701 nucleotides long. Lineage: Eukaryota; Viridiplantae; Streptophyta; Magnoliopsida; Poales; Poaceae. The record is from Rfam.